RNAcentral lists this long non-coding RNA (4523 nucleotides) under Homo sapiens (human). RNAcentral describes it as "non-protein coding lnc-GNG11-3:10". The record is from RNAcentral. Lineage: Eukaryota; Metazoa; Chordata; Mammalia; Primates; Hominidae.
ACUCCCAAGGAAAGUGACGCCUGAGAGAAAGAGCCAUUUGUUUGUCUUUUUAAUUUCAGCUUCUUCCUAAAUAAGACAGCCUUUUAGAAAGACUUUCACAGUGUCAGGUUAGUUACCUAAAUCUUAGGUAACUUUAGGUUAGUUACCUAAAGUCACUCUGUGACUUCAUCCUGAUAUAAAGGAACAAGGAAGAGAGUCGGAUUAGGCUAACUCACUAUGAUGGGGUAACACAUAGAAAAGGCACGGAGAAGUUAAGUGAUUUGCCUGUGGUCACAAAGCCUGUUAGCAGCAAACCCAGAACAAGAACCUAAGAUUUAUGACCGCCAGUUCCAGCUGUUUUUCUUCGUCAUGUAUCCUCAGCAAUCAACAUAAUCAAAAUCUGUUUGGAGACUACUGAUUUGUAUAAAGGAAGAUAACACCGAACAACCAAACAGGAAGUAAUCCAGCGAAUCUGGAACAGCGGUGGAAUUUAGAAGCAAGGCCAGAUGAGGACCCUAAGACCUAGAGAAACUAAGUCAUUUGCUCAAGAAGACAAAGGUAAUCAUCAGAAAUCAACAUGAGAUUUCAGCUCUCCUGAUCCUUAGUACAACAUGUGAAAGAAGAUAUGUUGUCUUUACUCACAGUGGAGGCAUUUUUCUAGCUGUGUUUGAUUUGGCUUCCCUAUAGAUUCAGGACCCAUAACUCUUGUUCUCACUCAUCUGCUAUGCUGCUGAUAAGGACUUUCAGGUCAACAGCUGUAACUGCUAAAUGAAGUUAAUACUCUGGAAAAAAAAAAAAAAAAAAAACCAGAAGGAACAGAGACCAAAAGAUUGAAAGCCAUUUGGAAAUUUCUUGAGUGGUGUCUGGCAGGUCUUUUAUGAAGAUUAUCAUAAACCAGGAAAAAAAAAAAAAACGCCUGCUGACUGUGUUAUCUGUAGUGCCUAUUGCCUAUUUUGGCUGAUUCAUUGAUGGUGUAACAGAUAACAGAAUGAAAGGAAAUGGUUUGGUUUCUAUAAAGGAAAAAGAAUGGUUUGUAUAAGGAAACCAUUAGUUUCCUGAGAUUGCUAUACCAAAUUAUCAAAACUUGGUGUCUUAAAACAAUAGAAAUUUUUUCUCCCACAGUUCUGGAGGCCAGAAACUCAAAAUCAGUAUUUGGCGGCUGAAAUCAAGGUGUUGGCAGCACCCUCUGGAGGCUCUCGGACAGAAUCUGUCCCUUGUGUCUAACAGAUUCUGCUGGCUGCUGGCAUUCCUUGACUUGUGGUCGUAUCAUUCCCAUCUCCUCCUCCAUAGUCAUAACGCUUUCUCCUCUUCUCUGGCAUUUGCAUCCCUUUUAUAAGACACGUAUGACUGCAUUUAGGGCUCACCAGGAUAAUGCAGGAUAAUCUUCCUAUUUCAGGAUCCUUUGCCACAUCUUCAAAGUCCUUUUUGGCCAAUAAAGUAAUAUUCACAGGCUCCGAAAUGAUGACCCAAAAUCUCUUUUUGCUUUUGCUUCACUCAUUUUGCAUUUAAUUACUAGGCUCUGCUUCUUCAGACACUUUUAUUACAGUUUAGUUUUUGCUACAUCCCUCAAAAAUGUCUUAUUAUUUUCACGGCCUGUCAUUUAGUUAUGUUUUCUUCUAAGUGUUUGGCUGUCUUGGUCAGUGCUCUAAAGGAAUUAAAAUCACUUGGUCAGGGCUCUGAAGUAAUUGGUCAGUGCUCUGAAGUAAUUAAAAUCACUGUGAAGCUGAAUGAAAAAUCAGAAGAAGAAUCAAGAGACCUAUGUUUUGCUUGUUAGGAGAACUGUGUAUCCUUUAUGUCUAUUUUUGGAGUUGGUGGUAAUUUCUGGUCAAGGAAUCAAAUGUUCUUAUUCCUAACCAUAUAGUCAGAUAAGAUGGCUAAGGUGCUUUCAUAAUCACCAUUGAUUCACUGUCAGAUGGGCCCGUGCUCUGUGACAACUUUUCAAUAUUAUAGACUUUACCAAAUAAAAAGGUAUCUCCUCAUUCUGUGCACAGAAAAAGAAAAUGAUGGAUGAGUAUAUUAGCCAGAACCCUGUCGCAGAAAAAUAAGCAUGAGUGUGCCCUUUCAUGCCUCCUGAGAACUCCUGUGCUAGACAGAGCCUGUUCAAGAUGUCUUUUCUGACUUUCUGAUUCCAGUUGACAUCUAGGCAUAUAAGGCAACUUUGUGAUGGGGCCAGAGAGCACCACACAUUGUUGUGUAUGAAAUACUCUAUUCAGCAAACAAGCCGUGCAGCAACAAGACCUAGUGUGGUCAAGGAUGGUGGACUAAAAACCACUAUGAAAGCAGAGAUGUAGCCACCUCUGAGACUGGUUUUCUAAGCAGGAUGACUUGGUUCCAUCCCUACAGGCAUCGUCUGGUCCAGUUCAGCACAGAGCUAGCUGCAAGUGACAACCUAAGAGAAAAGUCAGCGAGAACAAAGAUCCAUCUCUUCGUUGACUGCCUUAAUCCCUAGAGCUGUGUUCUUCAAUUUGUUACUAUUUGCUACAAUUUUUCUGCCUAACAAGCAAGUUCUAUCCUGCCUAGGAGAGAAACUUUUAGUAAAUUCAUCUUCAUUCACUACUAUUCAGCUCAUGCUGUAAAAACUUAGAUAAUGCUGUCUGAAAUACUUAACUCCUGGUCAAAUGCAGCUGCUAUUUCAUUCAGUAUAAUCAAAGAAUAGCCAAGGACUUUAGUUAAUAUUUCUUCAGAUGAUAGAGAAUAAACAAAUUGUUUUGGAUAUAUCUACCAUGCCCUCCAAACAUGAUUGUUGAUAUCUUUUCUAUAUAAAUUACUUUCCUACAUAAAUGGUACUUAGCUUUUCCUUGAAAGAUAUGCUCUUCUCUCCAGCUCAAAGAUAACCCUCUUUCCCUCAAAUUAUAAGUAAUUUAUAUUUAAUAAUCUUUCAUACGAAUUUUUAAAAUUACAAAUGGUAAGGUACCACUAUUUUUUAUUUUGUAACAGCACAAACCAUCAAAUCAGAAAAAAAGAAAGGUUGAGUAUGAUCUCUGAAAAAUGAAUUCUAGUAGCAUGUAUAGCAAAAAUCAUCUUAGAAUGAAUAGAAGCCCUGAAUAACUCAAUGACCACCAGGCUUGUCUGCAUCCACGUUCUACUUGGUUAACUGUUAAAUAAUAUCUAACUUGUUGCAUUGUAAAAACAACAUGUGUCUGUAAACUGAAAAAUAGAUGUUAUUAUCCACCUGGUUUAGUCAUAAUGGAGAAAUGUCCUUCAGUUGCAUGAUGCUCUUCCUAUGAAUGAGGAAACCAGAUCAACAUUUCCAUUCAAGUUCUAGCUUGCCUAUAACAUUUCUUAGCUCCUUUUGCAAACCAAAAGUGGCAGCAGUUGUAACUGAAUUAGUCUAACUGCUCAGACACAUGCAUUUCUGUUUGGUUGCUCUGGUCUCUUCUUGAAGGCCAAGUGCUGUGAUCAUUUAUCAUCAUCAGAAUUGGCUGCCAUAACUCAGUGUUCCCGGGACCUGCAGUGGGCAGAGCACCAGCACAACCCGUAGAAAGCAGCUCCAAGAUCAGCACCCUCUCAUAAACCUACCGAGCCAGGAGCAUCUUCCAGGCCCUCCACUCUCAGGAGUUUCAAGGAGAAAACAAAAUGCUGAGGACUGGGAAUGAGAAGCUUCAACCUUGCACAAUCUCUACAUUUUGCUUUACUCCCAAGAGGGACGAAUGAAGAAUGUUGUUAUUGAUGCUAUGACCACUUCUCUCCCAUAUUGUGCCCAGUAAACAUGGUCUUACUCAUUAUUGAAAUACUAGCAUUCUUCUAUAAUGGUUCGUACACAGCUGCUGCCCAGAGCACUGAAUAACACAUACUACCAGGUGUCAAACCCAGAUUUCCCCAGUCUCUCCUUAAUUUCCAGCAAUAAAAAGAUUAGCCUGGCACAGCAGGUCUUCAGACCCUUUCUGAUUUUGAAUAGUGAUUUGAACACCUCUCCUAGCUGUGUCCCCUUUGGGUUUAAGAAUAAGAUAGAAGAUAUAUUGCUUUCCAUUUUAAAAUGUUUAACUUCUAUUCAAGAAUAAAUAUUGAUGAAGGGCAUCUAGGUACUAGUGAUUUUUCCUGAUGUCCAUUUUGUGAACUUCACAGAAGACUUUGAUUUCACCUUAAACCAAAGAAAACGUUCACAGAUAUCUUAUAAAUCUACUAUUUUUCAUGAUUAUAAUAACCUGUCAUCAUGACAAGCCAUGUUCAUUAACAAAAGAAAUCAUAGGGGCAGCUUCUAUUGGGCACUUAACUCCUUCAUCCAUGAAAUUAUACUUUAUGUGAAUUUAUUUUUGGAAAGUUCAGGUAGUUUAAAUUUUAAAUAUAUAGACUAGAAAGAAAUUGGGACCUUAAAAACUAUUUUACAGGAAAAAUGUUUCUGCCUGUCCUCAUAUUUCCUUCUUUUUUUUUUUUAACAGUGUUAGAUUUCUGCAGAACUAAUACCCUUUAAAUACUCUUGUCACACUUCAGAGGACACUAUGCAAAUUCUCAGAGGCCACACAAUUUCCAGGUAUAUUGUGAGGCCUCUGAUAAGAUUUGUAUACUGUUGACACCUACUUAAUAUAUGGAUAAAUAAAUCUCCA